Long non-coding RNA from Bubalus bubalis (water buffalo), 4228 nucleotides. RefSeq lists it as uncharacterized. NCBI's taxonomy places the organism in Eukaryota, Metazoa, Chordata, Mammalia, Artiodactyla, Bovidae. The record is from RefSeq and is a predicted model, not a curated record. The transcript has 2 exons.
CUCAAUGGACAUGAGUUUGAGCAAGCUCCGGGAGUUGGUGAUGAGCAGGGAAGCCUGGUGUGCUGCAGCCCAUGGGGUCACAAGGAGUCAGACAUGACUGAGCGACUGAACUGAACUGAAGGAAAAGUGAGGCACUGAUGAGCUGACCCUUGGGAAUUAGGGUGAGACGCAGGCAGGGUUAAGGAGGAAAUGUCAUCAGUGUCUGGGAACACGGACCUUGUACUUUUUGCCUUGAGCAUACUCAAAGAGGGAGGAAGAGGGUCUGGAGAGCAAGGCAGUCUGUUCUCACCAUGAGUCCCUUUGAAGCCCAAGACCAGACUGACGGGGAAGGAAAGGGGAGGAGGGGAGGUGGGGAGGGGUGUAGCCGGGCUCCUCUUGUCAACAUUGGCAUCUAGAGGAAAGUCACGACCUUGGGUGCAGAAAUGGUCCUUGGGUGUUGAUUUCAGUUUGAGGUUGAUGUGAUACUUGGAGCUUAUUUGGCACCCUUAUCAGUGCUUUUGGCAUAAUUUAAGUCAUCGGAAGGAUUUUUUUCUUCAAUGUUCUAGCAGGUUUAGAAGCUUGUGAAAAAGAUCAGUUCUGCUUUUAGAAGGAUAAAAAUACUGCAGUGAUGGAGAGCUGCCUCAUGCCUGACAGGCAGGUGUGACAGCCACUGUCUGCACUGGGGCAGGGGCUCCUCUGCCAGUGAGCUUCUGUACUGACCAACUGUGCAACACGGGAGUGUGUGUACAUGGUGUGUGUGUGUAUAUGGUAUGUGUGUGUACAUAGUGUGUGUGUGCACACACUGUGUGUGUGCAUGGUAUAUGCAUGUAUAUAGUGUGCGUGCACACAGUGUGUACAUGGUGUGUGUGUGUACAUGGUAUGUGUGUGCACAUGGUGUGUGCAUGUACAUGGUGGGUGUGGACAUGGUAUGUGAGUAUAUGGUUUGUGUGUAUAUGGGGUGUGUGUACAUGCUGUAUAUGUGAAUGGUGUGUGUGUAUAUGGUGUGUAUAUAUCCAUGGUGUAGUGUAUAGUACAUGAUAUAGUGUAUAUACAUGUGGUAUGUGUAUAUACAUGGUGUGUGUGUACACAUGUAUAUACAUGGGAUGUGUACAUGUGUGUACAUGGGAUAUGUGUAUAUGUGUUUUACAUGAUGCAUGCACAUGAUGUGUAUACACACCCAUGUAUGGCAUGUGUGUACCUGGUGUGUGUACAUAUGUGUAUACACGGUGUCUGUGCCCUGUGUACAUGGUAUGUGUGUGCACACGGUGUGUGUACACAUGCGUGCACGUGGUGUGUGCAUGUGUGUGUGUGUGUGUGCAUGUUGGAGGUGCAUAGUACAUUGUUCUCUUGAUAUCACAGCUGCUCUGAGCACCCAGCCCAGGAGUCCUGGCUCCAGGGGGCUGUCAUUCCCGAUGACCCAUAGAGCCUGGUGACAGGAAAUGAUGUCACUGCAGUGUGCCAGCUGUGUUGUCUGGGACCCUAACCCACUGAGAAUCAGCAGUUCUCACAGUGUAAACAGAGGCAGGCCUGCUCCCAGGGAGGCUGAGGUCAAGGUUCCUCUUCACAGGGGCUGACCGGGCUCUGUACCUAGCAGCCUUUAGAGGCUUUCUGGAGCAUUCCAAGAGUGGGCUCUGGCUCAUUGAAAAUGAUCACAGGCUUGAGCAACCAGGCCCAGAAUGUUAACCGUGGGGUGGAUGCUCUUUUGGGUGCCCCUUCCCUGCAGAUGCACUGGGAUGCACACAGGGUCCUCAGUCUACGUGAAUGAGGAUGGCGGCCCAGCUGUCCGUCUUCAGGUGACAAGGUCACUGUCGGGUGGCUUGCGGCUCACCGGGUGCGUUUUGUGCCUGUUGCAGCUGCAGCCCCUGCCUGCUGGAAGGGCGCCCCACCUCCUCUGGAUGCCCUUCAAGCACAUGAUCUUGUUCUGUCUUCACAAACACCCUGAAGGUCAAGGCAGCCUCAUCCCAAAGCUUGUGGCAAGGCAGCGUGAGGACAAGAUAGUGACCCUGAGAAAGACAAUGCAGGGACAUCCAGACUCUGAGAGACCUCUCACUCGGGCUGCCUGCCCACUGUGCGCACUGCCUCCCACACUGGAUCCAGCACUCCAGAAACUGGAAUGUGUUUCAAUCUGUGGUCAAGAUGAAUCUCACACACUUAAGGGUGUGAUUGAACUGGCCACUGAAAUGCCUGCAGUCCACAGAUGCCUCCCUGAAUGGCAGGAGUGAGUGAAGUCAUCAAGCCAGCAAAGGAGAUUUCGAAGAUGAUGGAGCUUGUGCUAUGGGCUGAAUUGCUCCCUGCAGUCAGGCACACUGGAUAACACUGGCAAGUACAGGGAACCUUUACACUCUCUUCCAGAGGUGACUGACCAAUCAGAACACGACUCGUCCUCUCCUGAGUCACCGAGGCAGCCCCUCUAGCCCACACAUGCCUUCUCUGUGUCUCCCCCUACCCCACUUCCCUCUCCCAUCAUUCAUCCCAUUUCCCCUUCCUGGUUCCCAAGCAUGGAGAAGGAUACAGAAGGAUUCCAUGCUCACCAGGUCAGACAGUCCUUUGAUUGCUGUAAUUUUCGCAUCCCAUGAUAUCGACAUUAAUUGUCAUCCAUUGAGUAGGAAUGUCUGCCUAUGUCUCUACCUCUCAGCGGAGAAAAUAUGCAGUCAAUGAGCUCAGUUCUGGGCAGUGGGGGAUCACUGAUAUGUGUGGCAUGAGGCAAUGCCCUGGGGUUACGCAAGUUUUGUUUGGCAGACCUAGAAAAUGUGUCACUUGACGAUUCUGUGAGUCUGCUGUGCAAAAUGUUACCAUUAAAAAAUAAUUGAAGGCACACAUCCACUUGAGAACAAUGAUCUAGGUUUAUUGCCUUUAUAAUCUGCUUGGGCUCCCUUGUUUCUUUUUAGUUGUCAGGGUUCAGAACCAACUGAAAAACAUCUCUUUGAAAUGAAAGACCUGCUUCAGAUUGAGACAAGAUUCUGGGCCAGGCUCUGCAGGUCGGUGAUCUCAACCUCAGUGUUUGCUGGGAGCAUUGUGUCUGCAGAUGCAAUUCCAUGUCUCCGGCCCUUAUGUCAGGACCUUUGGUUGUUUUGGUAGGAGCCCGCCCCUUAACCUCAGCUGACAUUUGAUUCAGCAGGAGAGCCCCACGUGACUCACAGUUGGAGAAGUCUAAGUUUUUCUUUCCUCAUGGGAAACUGAGGCCAAGAUGGUGGGAAGCCUGUGCAUGGCCAUUCUCUAGCCAUGAGCACAGCCAGUCGUGAGCCCCAGGUUUCCUCCUGCCACUGUGCUCCCUCCUUUCCAGAGGUCUCCACUGGAAGCUCCAAGGCCGAUUAUCUUUCUUUCCAUAUUUAAUUGCGUGGCACAUAACCAGCUCCUUUAAACUUAUCAUGAAAAAACCUGUACUGGAGAUGAUGUAACCAGGCUUCGUGCCCACAUGAGCUGCACAGGAGAGUCUGAGAAGGACCUUGGACUGGAGAAGGACCCCUGGGAAAGCUGCAAGACAGCAGCUCUCAUCACUUCCAGAACAUUCUUUCUCAGAACACUGCCUCUUGUAAAUGUUUGCCGGCUGAAAAGUAUAGCUUCUCCGUAAUGUUCAUGUAGGAGUUAUCUUCAGAGGGAAGUGGUCCCCUGGGUCUGGCAGGGAUGCUGCUGGUGUGGGCAGUGUGAGGGUGGGCGUGUUCAUUUCCCAUGGCUGAUGGAAAUUACUACAAACUCGGUGGCUUAAAAACACACAAAUCUGUGGGUCUUCCCUGGAGGUUCAGAGAUUAGGGUUCCACACUUUCACUGGAGGGGGUAAGGAUCCAGUUCCUGGUUGAGGAACUAAGAUCCCGCAGGCCCUUCAGUUCAGUCAAAAACAUUUUUUUAAACUUUUUAAACAAACCUCACAAAUUUGCUACCUGAAAAUUCCAAAGGUCAGAAUAUAAAAUUAAAGUGUUAGCAGGGCUGUGUUCCUUCUUUCCUUCUGGAGGCUUCAGGGAAGAAUCCUUUCCUUCCUUUUCUUGCUCUGGAGACACCUUGGUUCCUGGUCCCAUGGCCUCUUCCUCCACCUUUAAAGUCAACAGAGUAGCAUCUUCAAAUUUCUUUUUCUAUGCAUCUAUCUUCAUAGCUCCUGCCACUGCCUCUGACUCUCCUGCUUCCUUCUUUCCCUCAUAAAGACCCUUGUGAUGAUUUUGGACCAUCAUGCACCACCCCCACCCUCACCCCCACACCUGGGUAAUACUGAAUAAUCUCUUGAUCUAAAUAUUCUUCAUUUAAUCCCAUCUACAAA